UUUCAAACAGACACUCAGGAGGAGCAAAGACUAAGGUACGUUAAUGACACGUGGUUCAAUUAAGUACUCACUCUCUUAAGCUUUAAAUCUUCACAGAAAUGAUUACUUGUGUUUGUGCGUGUGACUUUGAGCGGUGAAUGUAAACUCAGCUGUCAUAACCAGCAGCAGGAGAGCACCUUGUUAACCUCUUGGUGUACUGCAUGCUCAAAACAUCAUAGCAUUGUUUAUUAAGGCUGCUCACAUAGCAUUUAUCUUUUUAUUUACGGGCCAAAGAAAAAGACCCCCUCAAGAAUUUUCCAAACAGCACUUUGAACAGGCUGUUUUUUUUUGGAUACCACUGGAACCAGAAGCACUGUCCGGUCUGCCACCACAUCUUCAUCAUCUUCAUCCACCACCACCAAGAGAACCCUCACAUCGGACGUCACAGUGCGCCUUGACUUUGGUUGUGCACAGAAGGGUGGUAGGACAUAUUUUUUUUGGACGAUACUCCUUCUUUUAUACGUUUUUCCAGAUUGAACUCAGUCCUGAGAUCUCAGAGGUUUCCUUUAUUUUUGAUGUUACCUGCUUGGACAUUCUUUUGAUGUGUGGAAUCGUGCAUUUGCUGAAGAAAUGAUUGUCUAAUUGUGUUAUAAAUAUUUGGGGUGGCCAUUUCCUGUUUCCAAUUGAAUACUCAGCAGUUUCCUCAUCGAACCUGGAUUGAAUUUGCAUAUCCCCCUAUAUUCUGUAUAUUCUGCACUGUCUCUAAGCGCCAGUUGCAGGGGAGGGGUUACACAUACAAAAACAUACAUACCUACUCAAGCUUUAACUUAAAAGGUCACGUGAACUUAACAACCGCCAUUUGGUUGCACUGUCCUUUAAUUAUUUAUGAAUCUGCUUUGGCCAAUACUGCAGAUAUGCUGACACAACACAUUGUCCCAUCCAGUACAGUGGUGUGUCGAUCACAGUCUCUGAGUGACAAGUCAAU
Long non-coding RNA from Gasterosteus aculeatus aculeatus (three-spined stickleback), 964 nucleotides. The record is from Ensembl. Lineage: Eukaryota; Metazoa; Chordata; Actinopteri; Perciformes; Gasterosteidae.